Molecule: small RNA, 431 nt
Filed under: Pongo abelii (Sumatran orangutan)
Lineage: Eukaryota; Metazoa; Chordata; Mammalia; Primates; Hominidae
Description: retained intron
Source: RNAcentral
CAGCGUCUCCUGGCCAGUCCAGGCUUUCGGGGCCGGAUUGGGCAGCAGCCCCUGCAGCCGGUCCCACUGAGUCUGCCCUGCCUUCCAGAUUCUGGUACAGGUCAAAGAGGUCCUCUCCAAGCUGAGCACGCUCGUGGAAACCACACUCAAAGAGACAGAGAAGAUUACAGUAUGCGGGGACACCCAUGGCCAGUUCUAUGACCUCCUCAACAUAUUCGAGCUCAACGGUUUACCCUCGGAGACCAACCCCUAUAUAUUUAAUGGUGACUUUGUGGACCGAGGCUCCUUCUCUGUAGAAGUGAUCCUCACCCUUUUCGGCUUCAAGCUUCUGUACCCAGAUCACUUUCACCUACUUCGAGGCAACCACGAGACAGACAACAUGAACCAGAUCUACGGUUUCGAGGGUGAGGUGAAGGCCAAGUACACAGCCC